This 66-nucleotide transfer RNA is filed under the name Syritta pipiens. RNAcentral describes it as "tRNA-Cys". Lineage: Eukaryota; Metazoa; Arthropoda; Insecta; Diptera; Syrphidae. The record is from RNAcentral.
GGCUUUAUAGUCAAUAAUGAUAUUAAAAUGCAAUUUUAAAGGAAUAAUUAAUAAUUAUUAAAGCUU